This 483-nucleotide ribosomal RNA is filed under the name Penicillium restrictum. RNAcentral's name for it is "eukaryotic LSU rRNA". The stretch from base 119 to 272 matches the Rfam family "5.8S ribosomal RNA". Lineage: Eukaryota; Fungi; Ascomycota; Eurotiomycetes; Eurotiales; Aspergillaceae. The record is from RNAcentral.
UUCGGCGGGCCCGCCUCACGGCCGCCGGGGGGCUUCUGCCCUCUGGCCCGCGCCCGCCGAAGACACCAUUGAACGCUGUCUGAAGGUUGCAGUCUGAGCAAUUAGCUAAAUAAGUUAAAACUUUCAACAACGGAUCUCUUGGUUCCGGCAUCGAUGAAGAACGCAGCGAAAUGCGAUACGUAAUGUGAAUUGCAGAAUUCAGUGAAUCAUCGAGUCUUUGAACGCACAUUGCGCCCCCUGGUAUUCCGGGGGGCAUGCCUGUCCGAGCGUCAUUGCUGCCCUCAAGCACGGCUUGUGUGUUGGGCCUCCGUCCUCCUCCCGGGGGACGGGCCCGAAAGGCAGCGGCGGCACCGCGUCCGGUCCUCGAGCGUAUGGGGCUUCGUCACCCGCUCUUGUAGGCCCGGCCGGCGCUUGCCGACACAUCAAUCUUUUUUCCAGGUUGACCUCGGAUCAGGUAGGGAUACCCGCUGAACUUAAGCAUAU